GUUAAAAAGCUCGUAGUUGGAUUUCUGUGAGAGUAUGAUGUCCUAACGUGUUUAGAGCGCAGAAAACUCUUGCAUCCUUCUGUUACCUCCACGUGGCAUUCGCUUGCCAGUGGUUGGCUCAGAGAAUUUACCUUGAGAAAAUUAGAGUGUUUCAGGCAGGCUUAGUCGGAAUACAUUAGCAUGGAAUAAUAGAAUAGGACUCCGGUCUCGUUGUUGGUUUGAGGGACUGUAGUAAUGAUUAAUAGGGAUAGUUGGGGGCAUUAGUAUUCGGUUGUCAGAGGUGAAAUUCUCAGAUUUAUUGAAGACUAACUUAUGCGAAAGCAUUUGCCAAGGAUGUUUUCAUUAAUCAAGAACGAAAGUUAGGGGAUCAAAGACGAUCAGAUACCGUCCUAGUCUUAACCAUAAACUAUGCCGACUCGGGAUUGGGGGCGUGUUAUUAUCCGCCUUCAGCACCGUAUGAGAAAUCAAAGUCUUUGGGUUCUGGGGGGAGUAUGGCCGCAAGGUUGAAACUUAAAGGAAUUGACGGAAGGGCACCACCAGGCGUGGAGCUUGCGGCUCAAUUUGACUCAACACGGGAAAACUUACCAGGUCCAGACAUAGUAAGGAUUGACAGAUUGAUAGCUCUU
This 626-nucleotide ribosomal RNA is filed under the name uncultured marine eukaryote. RNAcentral describes it as "SSU rRNA". It matches the Rfam family "Eukaryotic small subunit ribosomal RNA", at positions 618 to 1259 of the family's 1831-position model. The record is from RNAcentral.